AGAACGAACGCUGGCGGCAUGCCUAACACAUGCAAGUCGAACGAGACCUUCGGGUCUAGUGGCGCACGGGUGCGUAACGCGUGGGAAUCUGCCCUUGGGUUCGGGAUAACAGUUGGAAACGACUGCUAGUACCGGAUGAUGACUUCGGUCCAAAGAUUUAUCGCCCAAGGAUGAGCCCGCGUAGGAUUAGCUUGUUGGUGAGGUAAGAGCUCACCAAGGCGACGAUCCUUAGCUGGUCUGAGAGGAUGAUCAGCCACACUGGGACUGAGACGACGGCCCAGACUCCGUACGGGAGGCAGCGAGGUAGGGGAAUA
RNAcentral lists this ribosomal RNA (314 nucleotides) under uncultured soil bacterium. RNAcentral's name for it is "bacterial SSU rRNA". It matches the Rfam family "Bacterial small subunit ribosomal RNA", at positions 26 to 363 of the family's 1533-position model. The record is from RNAcentral.